This 429-nucleotide ribosomal RNA is filed under the name Chloroflexota bacterium. RNAcentral describes it as "Chloroflexi bacterium partial 16S ribosomal RNA". It matches the Rfam family "Bacterial small subunit ribosomal RNA", at positions 355 to 776 of the family's 1533-position model. The record is from RNAcentral. Lineage: Bacteria; Bacillati; Chloroflexota.
UGGGGAAUAUUGCACAAUGGGCGCAAGCCUGAUGCAGCCAUGCCGCGUGUGUGAAGAAGGCCUUCGGGUUGUAAAGCACUUUCAGCGGGGAGGAAGGCGUUAAGGUUAAUAACCUUGGCGAUUGACGUUACCCGCAGAAGAAGCACCGGCUAACUCCGUGCCAGCAGCCGCGGUAAUACGGAGGAUGCAAGCGUUAAUCGGAAUUACUGGGCGUAAAGCGCACGCAGGCGGUCUGUCAAGUCGGAUGUGAAAUCCCCGGGCUCAACCUGGGAACUGCAUUCGAAACUGGCAGGCUAGAGUCUUGUAGAGGGGGGUAGAAUUCCAGGUGUAGCGGUGAAAUGCGUAGAGAUCUGGAGGAAUACCGGUGGCGAAGGCGGCCCCCUGGACGAAGACUGACGCUCAGGUGCGAAAGCGUGGGGAGCAAACAGG